AUUUAAAUAGCUUAUAUAGAGUAUAACAUUGAAGAUGUUAGGGAAAUUUUUAUAUUUUUAAAUA
Molecule: transfer RNA, 64 nt
Filed under: Natula pravdini
Lineage: Eukaryota; Metazoa; Arthropoda; Insecta; Orthoptera; Trigonidiidae
Description: tRNA-Phe
Source: RNAcentral